Molecule: transfer RNA, 76 nt
Filed under: Nitrospinaceae bacterium
Lineage: Bacteria; Pseudomonadati; Nitrospinota; Nitrospinia; Nitrospinales; Nitrospinaceae
Description: tRNA-Asn
Rfam family: tRNA
About the family: Transfer RNA (tRNA) molecules are approximately 80 nucleotides in length. Their secondary structure includes four short double-helical elements and three loops (D, anti-codon, and T loops). Further hydrogen bonds mediate the characteristic L-shaped molecular structure. tRNAs have two regions of fundamental functional importance: the anti-codon, which is responsible for specific mRNA codon recognition, and the 3' end, to which the tRNAs corresponding amino acid is attached (by aminoacyl-tRNA synthetases). tRNAs cope with the degeneracy of the genetic code in two manners: having more than one tRNA (with a specific anti-codon) for a particular amino acid; and 'wobble' base-pairing, i.e. permitting non-standard base-pairing at the 3rd anti-codon position.
Source: RNAcentral
UGGGGUGUAGCAUAACUGGCAGUGCACUCGGUUGUUACCCGAGAGAUUGUUGGUUCGAAUCCAGCCGCCCCAGCCA